This 58-nucleotide transfer RNA is filed under the name Salmo salar (Atlantic salmon). It matches the Rfam family "tRNA", at positions 8 to 63 of the family's 71-position model. Rfam says of the family: Transfer RNA (tRNA) molecules are approximately 80 nucleotides in length. The record is from Rfam by way of RNAcentral. RNAcentral also lists the same sequence under 1 other name. Lineage: Eukaryota; Metazoa; Chordata; Actinopteri; Salmoniformes; Salmonidae.
UGGCUCAGUUGGUAUAGCAUGGUGCUUGCAAUGCCAGGGUUGUGGGUUUGAUUCCCAU